This 729-nucleotide long non-coding RNA is filed under the name Homo sapiens (human). Its description in RNAcentral is "HRG and FETUB antisense RNA 1". Lineage: Eukaryota; Metazoa; Chordata; Mammalia; Primates; Hominidae. The record is from RNAcentral.
CUGGCAGAGGUGGUUGGGGCUAUGUGCCUGGAGUGAAGAUUCUGCCCAUUGGUCAAGAGACCUCCCUCUCAGAUGCUGGCUCUGCCCCUGCCUUUGGGGGUCGACCCUUGUACUCGCAGGACCUUAGGUGACUCUAUUCUACUUCUCUGAUCAUCCAGGAAGCCAACCUGCCUGAGGACGAGUCAUACUCUGUCCUCCCACCCCAGGCCAGAGAGUGGUAUCUGUCUUUCCACAAGUUCAGCUACAACUAAGAAGAAUACGCUUCUUGUCAAGAUGGCACAUAUGCACAGGCUACCGGCUGUCUCCUCCAGUAUCCUGGAAAAACUACAAGAAAACAUGGAUUCCAGGAAACAGUAACUACAGCACAGAAUAUAUGAGAAAAUCCCACAGAUAGAGGGCUGUUUUGAACUGUUUCCCAUGACUGCAGAAAACAAAAGACUCCAGACAGCAAACAAAACAAAAAACACCCCAAGACACCAAACAAAACACAGUUAAAACCAGUGGGCCAGGGCUCAGCCCAUGAUGCUCUGCAGGGAAAGGUAGUUGCUGGUACCUGUAAGGGAAUAUCAGCUCAAAGGCCAAGACAGCUAGAUACCUGAGAAGGUCUAUCAUCUGCCCCACAAAAGACAACAAACUGAAUAACACAUAUAUUUUAAGCAACUGUACUUUGCUUAAAAAAAGAUUAGACAGACCAGGAACUUAAAACAAGCAUGAUAAUACUUAAGGAGG